GUCACAUCUGGGUUAGUUUGGCGGCGUCUAUACUUUAUAACAUUUUUUUAUCAAAAAUGUUUCUAUUUUUAAUUAAAUUUGGUUAUUGGUGUUGGUUGAACUUGAACUUUUUAGAAUUUGAAAAAUCUCAUGGAUUCUAGGAGUUAGAUGAAUGUAUCGGUAGAAUAGUUUUACAACUGUCCGUGUCUGUGCUGCAUAGGCUGAUGGCUGCUUUUCCUUUGUUUAUGAAACUUAUCAAGUUGUCUGUGUAUUGGUCCUCAUGUGAAAUAUAUACCCUCCUAUAGUCUUAUGCUUCUCUAUGAAGAGUGUAAUGACCUAUUCCUUUUGGGAUUGUUACCAUUUUCAUUUUAACUCAACCUAUAAUGGCAUCUGAAAUAGGU
This 380-nucleotide long non-coding RNA is filed under the name Trifolium pratense (red clover). Its description in RNAcentral is "long non-coding RNA (TPRA_LNC007298)". The record is from RNAcentral. Lineage: Eukaryota; Viridiplantae; Streptophyta; Magnoliopsida; Fabales; Fabaceae.